AAAGGCAGAAGCCCUAAGCUUGCCCAAUUGGGCAGAGGAUCCUCCUCACACCGUGACUGGAAGAAGAAAUUAAAUGUUCCCCUUUGACUGCAUCUGUUCUUUCUUGGACAUAAUUAUUUAACACCUUGCUAAACCUCAGGAGUGGUCCAAGGUCAGUUGGAAAAAAAAUAUACUGAGAUAACCUUUUUACUCCAGCUGGCUACCAUCCCCCUAUUUAUGCUAUUGAUGACCACAGCACAUUUCUCUGACUUCAAAAUGAAAAAGCAUUACAACCUUCAAUAAAAUAUAGAGACAAGAUGCAGAUUUUUAAAUUAA
This is a long non-coding RNA of Pogoniulus pusillus (Red-fronted tinkerbird), 315 nucleotides long. RefSeq lists it as uncharacterized. The transcript is spliced from 3 exons. The record is from RefSeq and is a predicted model, not a curated record. Lineage: Eukaryota; Metazoa; Chordata; Aves; Piciformes; Lybiidae.